AUCGCAUAUUGAGAACAGAAAUAUUUAUUUAUUGAUUUAAGGAAUGGGGCUAUUUGGAAAUCAUCCUUUCUCAAAAUAAACAAUAUCAUACACAGUUCAUUACAUAUAUAUACAUUUUCAUUAUUAUUUAUUUUAAUACUAAUUUCAAGGUGUAUAUAAUCUAGAAUUAUAUCACACUCUGACUUAUUUUUUUUUGUAUUUUUUUUCUGCAUAAAAAGAAAUAUAGACAAACAAGUAAAAAAUAUAAUACAAUAUUUACAAUUAU
This 265-nucleotide long non-coding RNA is filed under the name Mytilus galloprovincialis (Mediterranean mussel). Lineage: Eukaryota; Metazoa; Mollusca; Bivalvia; Mytilida; Mytilidae. The record is from RNAcentral.